Molecule: ribosomal RNA, 521 nt
Filed under: Burkholderia sp. AR5(3)
Lineage: Bacteria; Pseudomonadati; Pseudomonadota; Betaproteobacteria; Burkholderiales; Burkholderiaceae
Description: bacterial SSU rRNA
Rfam family: Bacterial small subunit ribosomal RNA
Source: RNAcentral
GCAACCCUGGUGGCGAGUGGCGAACGGGUGAGUAAUACAUCGGAACGUGUCCUGUAGUGGGGGAUAGCCCGGCGAAAGCCGGAUUAAUACCGCAUACGCUCUACGGAGGAAAGGGGGGGAUCUUAGGACCUCCCGCUACAGGGGCGGCCGAUGGCAGAUUAGCUAGUUGGUGGGGUAAAGGCCUACCAAGGCGACGAUCUGUAGCUGGUCUGAGAGGACGACCAGCCACACUGGGACUGAGACACGGCCCAGACUCCUACGGGAGGCAGCAGUGGGGAAUUUUGGACAAUGGGGGAAACCCUGAUCCAGCAAUGCCGCGUGUGUGAAGAAGGCCUUCGGGUUGUAAAGCACUUUUGUCCGGAAAGAAAACCUCUGGGUUAAUACCCCGGGGGGAUGACGGUACCGGAAGAAUAAGCACCGGCUAACUACGUGCCAGCCGCCGCGGUAAUACGUAGGGUGCAAGCGUUAAUCGGAAUUACUGGGCGUAAAGCGUGCGCUGGCGGUCCGCUAAAACAGAUGUG